UACGUAGGGUGCAAGCGUUAAUCGGAAUUACUGGGCGUAAAGAGCUCGUAGGCGGUCUGUCGCGUCUGCUGUGAAAACUCAGGGCUUAACCCUGAGCUUGCAGUGGGUACGGGCAGACUAGAGUGCGGUAGGGGAGACUGGAAUUCCUGGUGUAGCGGUGAAAUGCGCAGAUAUCAGGAGGGAACACCGGUGGGCGAAAGGCGGGUCUCUGGGCCGUAACUGGACGCUGGAGGAAGCGAAAGCUAGGGGAGCAAACGGG
RNAcentral lists this ribosomal RNA (259 nucleotides) under uncultured bacterium. Its description in RNAcentral is "partial 16S ribosomal RNA". It matches the Rfam family "Bacterial small subunit ribosomal RNA", at positions 524 to 776 of the family's 1533-position model. The record is from RNAcentral.